AGUCGAGCGGGGGAAGGUAGCUUGCUACUGGACCUAGCGGCGGACGGGUGAGUAAUGCUUAUGAAUCUGCCUAUUAGUGGGGGACAACAUCUCGAAAGGGAUGCUAAUACCGCAUACGUCCUACGGGAGAAAGCAGGGGAUCUUCGGACCUUGCGCUAAUAUGAUGCAGCNCUAACGUCAAGAUUAGCUAGUUGGUGGGGUAAAGGCCUACCAGGGCGACGAUCUGUAGCGGGUCUGAGAGGAUGAUCCGCCACACUGGGACUGACACACGGCCCACACUCCUACGGGAGGCAGCAGUGGGGAAUAUUGGACAAUGGGGGGAACCCUGAUCCACCCAUGCCGCGUGUGUGAAGAAGGCCUUAUGGUUGUAAAGCACUUUAAGCGAGGAGGAGGCUACUUUAGUUAAUACCUAGAGAUAGUGGACGUUACUCGCAGAAUAAGCACCGGCUAACUCUGUGCCAGCAGCCGCGGUAAUACAGAGGGUGCGAGCGUUAAUCGGAUUUACUGGGCGUAAAGCGUGCGUAGGCGGCUUAUUAAGUCGGAUGUGAAAUCCCCGAGCUUAACUUGGGAAUUGCAUUCGAUACUGGUGAGCUAGAGUAUGGGAGAGGAUGGUAGAAUUCCAGGUGUAGCGGUGAAAUGCGUAGAGAUCUGGAGGAAUACCGAUGGCGAAGGCAGCCAUCUGGCCUAAUACUGACGCUGAGGUACGAAAGCAUGGGGAGCAAACAGGAUUAGAUACCCUGGUAGUCCAUGCCGUAAACGAUGUCUACUAGCCGUUGGGGCCUUUGAGGCUUUAGUGGCGCAGCUAACGCGAUAAGUAGACCGCCUGGGGAGUACGGUCGCAAGACUAAAACUCAAAUGAAUUGACGGGGGCCCGCACAAGCGGUGGAGCAUGUGGUUUAAUUCGAUGCAACGCGAAGAACCUUACCUGGCCUUGACAUACUAGAAACUUUCCAGAGAUGGAUUGGUGCCUUCGGGAAUCUAGAUACAGGUGCUGCAUGGCUGUCGUCAGCUCGUGUCGUGAGAUGUUGGGUUAAGUCCCGCAACGAGCGCAACCCUUUUCCUUACUUGCCAGCAUUUCGGAUGGGAACUUUAAGGAUACUGCCAGUGACAAACUGGAGGAAGGCGGGGACGACGUCAAGUCAUCAUGGCCCUUACGGCCAGGGCUACACACGUGCUACAAUGGUCGGUACAAAGGGUUGCUACACAGCGAUGUGAUGCUAAUCUCAAAAAGCCGAUCGUAGUCCGGAUUGGAGUCUGCAACUCGACUCCAUGAAGUCGGAAUCGCUAGUAAUCGCGGAUCAGAAUGCCGCGGUGAAUACGUUCCCGGGCCUUGUACACACCGCCCGUCACACCAUGGGAGUUUGUUGCACCAGAAGUAGCUAGCCUAACUGCAAAGAGGGCGGUUA
Molecule: ribosomal RNA, 1406 nt
Filed under: Acinetobacter baumannii
Lineage: Bacteria; Pseudomonadati; Pseudomonadota; Gammaproteobacteria; Moraxellales; Moraxellaceae
Description: bacterial SSU rRNA
Rfam family: Bacterial small subunit ribosomal RNA
Source: RNAcentral